CCUACGGGUGGCAGCAGUGAGGAAUAUUGGUCAAUGGCCGUAAGGCUGAACCAGCCAAGUCGCGUGAAGGAAGAAGGAUCUAUGGUUUGUAAACUUCUUUUAUAGGGGAAUAAAGGUAUCCACGUGCGGAUAUUUGCAUGUACCCUAUGAAUAAGCAUCGGCUAACUCCGUGCCAGCAGCCGCGGUAAUACGGAGGAUGCGAGCGUUAUCCGGAUUUAUUGGGUUUAAAGGGUGCGUAGGUUGUAUUUUAAGUCAGCGGUGAAAGUUUGUGGCUCAACCAUAAAAUUGCCGUUGAAACUGGAAAGCUUGAGUGUGUGUGAGGUAGGCGGAAUGCGUGGUGUAGCGGUGAAAUGCAUAGAUAUCACGCAGAACUCCGAUUGCGAAGGCAGCUUACUAAGCCAUAACUGACGCUGAGGCACGAAAGCGUGGGGAGCAAACAGGAUUAGAUACCCCAGUAGUC
This 460-nucleotide ribosomal RNA is filed under the name uncultured bacterium. RNAcentral's name for it is "partial 16S ribosomal RNA". It matches the Rfam family "Bacterial small subunit ribosomal RNA", at positions 338 to 795 of the family's 1533-position model. The record is from RNAcentral.